AUGGUUUUCUGCCUGAAAUGUUGCCGGGUUUCCUCUGUUUAUACCCUGAUGCCAGUUUGGUGUCGGUUCCUGGAUUCAUGUGAUUCUCUUGCACCUUCAGCUUCAAUCCGUGUCCCAACUCUCCUUAGGGAAGGUCUUUCUAUUCCUCUUCACACAGCUCUGGUGAGGGAAGUGGCUGCUCUGCAAGAGAGGAUGGAGAAACUCGCCAGAUCUCCAGGAUUUACCCAGAAUUGGGCAGGAAAGGAACAGAGUCAUUCCAAACUCAGCAGCAGCACCUGCAAGGCAGCCUUGACCCCGUGCCCACCUGGAGCAGCCCUGACAGCGAGGCCGGACAGGGAGGAGCAGCUUCUCUGCCAUGUUUUCAGCAGGAUCAACCUGAUACCUUCGGUUUGAACUUUCACAUUUUUCAAGCCCUUCACUGCCUGCUGUGUAACUCUGGAGUUUCCUGGAGCCUGUUCACUUCUGCUCUCUCGUGCCAGGCAGACACAACAAAGCCUCUCUGGGCCUGCUCUCCAAGGAUGCUCAGACCAUCCUAGGCCCAAAAUGCGUAAACCAAAAGCCUCUGAAGGGGGGUGUAAGCUUGGGGAAAUUACAUCACUAACUGAACCUUUAAUCGGAGAGUUAUUUGCUAUGCAAAUGAACCAAACUAUAAAAGUGUGAAGAACUCGUGAGCUGUCGCCCACCUUGGGGUCCAUCUCAGCAGUGGCCUCUGGACUCCCCAGGGGGUACCUUUGCAAGCCCUUUGAAUAAAUACCUCCCUUUAUUCCCUUAUUCCUGUCCAGGCUCUGUUUUUAGAUGGCCUCUUCAGGCAUCAAACCCAGGGAUGCUGCUGGGAUCAAGUGUGGGAAAACCUGUGCUGCUCCAGCCCCCCUGCCCCGCUGGCAGCAGCUCCAGCCCUGUGUGGGUAAAACCCUGCCGGGAGCGUUGGCAUUCCAGGGCAUUUCUCUAAACUGGGCCCAAAUCUCUGACGUUCCUUGGGUUGUGCUGAAUUCCAGGUUUGGUUCCAGGACCUGUUUUGAAACAGCAGCAGCUCAGCGUGGAUUUGUGUUGGGCCAACACUUCACCCAAAAUAUCCCUCGGAAUGCUCACUUCAGAACAAUUAGACAGCAGGAACAGACUUGAUUAUUUAUUUUCUCAGCCCUUGCAGCAGAGAGAAGCUGUUUGGGGUUAUUUUAAGCUUUUCUCUGUGCACGGGGCGGCCCUGCUGAGUGUCUCUGCUGCUGGAAACACACAGAGCACAUUCCAGGGCUCAGGACACUUUGUCACCUUGGAAAGAAAUGCCUUUCCCUUGGGGGGACUGUGCAAUGCGCAUCUAUAGAAUAAUAUUCUAAUUUGAAAAUAAUUGGAAGGAGAUACUCUUGGCAUUGGAAGUCAGAGAGAAUAAAAAGGAGUUUGGGUUAAUGUGACAGAGCACUUUUAAUGCCUGCAAGCGGGUGGGAACAAUAAAGAACUUCUGGGACUUUAAU
RNAcentral lists this long non-coding RNA (1466 nucleotides) under Corvus moneduloides (New Caledonian crow). RNAcentral's name for it is "lncRNA (ENSCMUG00000019693.1)". The record is from RNAcentral. Lineage: Eukaryota; Metazoa; Chordata; Aves; Passeriformes; Corvidae.